CCCAAUACACUCCCGUCUCUGUCUCUGUCUCAGCCAGGGAGAGGAAAUGUGAGCGCUCUCUGGGGAAGGACGGACCAGUCCCCGAAGCCCUUAAACAGCCCCUACUUAGCGCACGCAGCUUGGAACUGUCACAUUGAGACACGGAUUUCUUUGUUGCCAUUCAGCGCUCAAGUGUGUGGGCGUUUUGAGCCACUGUUUCUCCCCAUGGUGGGCGCAGCAUUACAUGCUUCCUUCUUGGGCCGGCGUUAUUUUUCUUCUUCAGAGAGAGAGAGAGAGAGAGGGGAACGGGGAACGGCCCGGGCGAGGCAAGAGCGAAAGCGGCGGCAGCAGCUAAAUAUAGUCCGGCCGCCGAGAACUUGGCUGCGAUCAGCUUGAUCUUCAUAACUCCACAGUCCUGAAAAUUAUCCCAGCCUUGAGUACACUUAAAGAAUAAAACCAGUAAGAAAAUGCAAAACAUUGUUGCAAACAUGUAGAAACAAGGAACUGCUUUUGGAGAACUCAAUGAUUCAGUCAACAUCCCUGGAGAACUUGGACAGGUGACGUUUUGGGUUGAGACAAUUUUUCAGGCGAAUCUAAUGCAAUCAUUGUCAUUUCCCUGUAUUUAACAUCAAAUCAUCUUGUUACAUGCAUAGGAAAUCAAAAUUAACAAUGUAAAAAAAACCAACCUGGUUAUAAAUAUUAUUAAGAGCCAGCAAUGACAGCAAUGGUACCGUCCAACAAUUGUUCGUUCCUCAUCCAUUAUCCACUUGAAUUUUGCACUUACUUUUAAUAAGAUUAGGGUUUGUCAAUUUAAUAUCGGCUUUGUAGUGCAUUCCAGGUUAUAUCAUGCAUUGAUUUUCAAAUUCAAAGAUUAAGUUAAGGCUUUUAUAUAGUACUUGCUUCUAUCAAACUUAAUUGUAUAUAUGAGCAGGAAAUUAUUUCCCCAAUACAUUUAUAUGGCAAACACUGAACUUUCAGUAGAUUGAAGAUAGACACAAAAUUCUGGAGUAACUCAGCGGGUCAGGCAGCAUCACUGGAGCAAAGGAAUAGGUAACAUUUCAGGUCGAGACCCUUCUUCAGACUGAGAAUCAGGGGAGAGGGAAACGAGAGAUAUAGCAACGUAAGAACAAAUGCAUGAAAGGUAUGAUAAGAACAAAUCACAGACAGCAACUAAGAUCAAGGAAAGGUGGAGCCCACAAUGGUCUAUUGCCAGCUGUGGGGGAGUGGAUACCAACAGUGAUACUAAGCUGGACGACAGUCGUAGGACAAUUAGGGUAAGGAGGGACAGAGAGUGAGGGAAUGCAAGGGUUACAGUAGAUUACAGGCAGUAGAUUGAGACUGUUUUACACCACAGUGGUUGAACUUUGAUUUGACACUAAAAAACCUGUUGUUGCAGCACUACCCAACUCCAGAACAAUGGAGAUAAUGGACUCGCUGAAAAAUUCCAUCCACGCUUCACUGUGCAGGCAAGGUCAAUCCCAACUACAGACUCAUGCUAUGCUUGUAACAAUAAAGAAAUAAAACGUUGAAGAUAGACUGGUUAUUUUGAACACAGUCUGCAGAGCAUCAGAUUAAAAUGUUUUCAGUCUCCAUGGAUCAUGUAAUUUCAUCAGCAAUCCUUCAAAUAUUCCAUCUUCUAGAUUCCAGCUUGCUUUCAUAUAUGUCUCGGAAGUUCAGUGCUGUUGCCUUCUAUGUAUCAAAUUCUGAUAUCUAUUUGGUGACAGUAUUACCUCCCCCAAGAUUUGAUUUGACAUCUUGGUUGAUGACUAACUGCAGGAAAGAAGCUAUUCUAUAUUCAAAUUGCUCAAACAGUCGGAAAAUUUGUGAAUUGAAGACACAUGAAUAACAUCUAUAAAAAAAUGUCCCUCACAUAUUUAAGGAUACACUUUGUGCGAAAUGGUAUAGAGCAGAUGUACUAUACGUUAAAGUUAUCAACUUAGCACUCUCCCCUCUAUUUGUAUACUAAAUCAGUCCUCGGUUUUCUGUGCAGUUGUAGCUCCAAGACCAGUUGGCACUGACCAACUCAAGUUAUUAAUACAGGCCAGAUAUUCACAUGGGACAACCAGAUACAAAUCUGGCUUGGCCUCAAAGGAGAUGAAGGAUUACAGCAGCCAAAAAGGUUAAUUUACAGCGGAGAUGAGAUCUUUGCAAUUUACAAAUGCAGAAACAAAGCAAAUAAAUAAGUAAACCUUUGUGCAUUAAUUAGCAUGAAAAUAUAAUGUCACAACCUGCCCACAGGAAACAGAACCUCUUUCAGCAAAAUUCUUGGCUGAAUGCAAACAUUGACAAAUGUGGGCAUCU
This is a long non-coding RNA of Leucoraja erinaceus (little skate), 2280 nucleotides long. RefSeq lists it as uncharacterized. The transcript is spliced from 3 exons. NCBI's taxonomy places the organism in Eukaryota, Metazoa, Chordata, Chondrichthyes, Rajiformes, Rajidae. The record is from RefSeq and is a predicted model, not a curated record.